This 253-nucleotide ribosomal RNA is filed under the name uncultured bacterium. RNAcentral's name for it is "partial 16S ribosomal RNA". It matches the Rfam family "Bacterial small subunit ribosomal RNA", at positions 524 to 776 of the family's 1533-position model. The record is from RNAcentral.
GACGUAGGGGGCAAGCGUUGUCCGGAAUCAUUGGGCGUAAAGCGCGUGUAGGCGGCUCGAUAAGUCUGCUGUGAAAGUUCAGGGCUCAACCCUGAAAUGCCGGUGGAAACUGUCGAGCUAGAGUCCGGAAGAGGCGAGUGGAAUUCCUGGUGUAGCGGUGAAAUGCGCAGAUAUCAGGAGGAACACCAAUGGCGAAGGCAGCUCGCUGGGACGGUACUGACGCUGAGACGCGAAAGCGUGGGGAGCAAACAGG